UUGAAAAAUUUCCGACCGAUACUUUCACAAUUUCAUGUCCAACUUAGUACAAGAAAAAGCAACAGUACCAGGAAUCGACGAUGGAAAACAACAAGAUUCCUUAAAAACUCUUCUUUCUUUACCAUACCCUACCUUUGCAGAAAAACUCAAACGCGCAGCAUUGGAUCUCAAAGAAACCGUAGUGGUGGAAACAUGGGGAUUUACUGGGCAGAAGGUUAAGGAUAAUUCACUGUAUACCGGGACUCUUGGAACUGCUUUCUUGCUUUUGAAAUCUUAUCAUGUUACCAAUAAUAAAAGUGACCUUCAUCUUUGAUCUUUGUUCUGAGAUCUUUAAAGCUUGUGAUUCCGCUCCCUCUAAUCCUAGGUGAACUAUGUCACACCCCGACCACGUAAAACA
Molecule: long non-coding RNA, 397 nt
Organism: Helianthus annuus (common sunflower)
Lineage: Eukaryota; Viridiplantae; Streptophyta; Magnoliopsida; Asterales; Asteraceae
Exons: 3
Source: RefSeq, a predicted model, not a curated record